UAAAAAUGGGGUAGGCACUACAAUUAAGUUUCGGCCUUAAGUUACUGAGAUUAUUCUCACAUUUUUAU
This 68-nucleotide transfer RNA is filed under the name Orcula dolium. RNAcentral's name for it is "tRNA-Arg". Lineage: Eukaryota; Metazoa; Mollusca; Gastropoda; Stylommatophora; Orculidae. The record is from RNAcentral.